Molecule: ribosomal RNA, 494 nt
Filed under: uncultured bacterium
Lineage: Bacteria
Description: partial 16S ribosomal RNA
Rfam family: Bacterial small subunit ribosomal RNA
Source: RNAcentral
GAUGAACGCUGGCGGCGUGCCUAAUACAUGCAAGUCGAGCGAACAGACGAGGAGCUUGCUCCUCUGACGUUAGCGGCGGACGGGUGAGUAACACGUGGAUAACCUACCUAUAAGACUGGGAUAACUUCGGGAAACCGGAGCUAAUACCGGAUAAUAUAUUGAACCGCAUGGUUCAAUAGUGAAAGACGGUUUUGCUGUCACUUAUAGAUGGAUCCGCGCCGCAUUAGCUAGUUGGUAAGGUAACGGCUUACCAAGGCAACGAUGCGUAGCCGACCUGAGAGGGUGAUCGGCCACACUGGAACUGAGACACGGUCCAGACUCCUACGGGAGGCAGCAGUAGGGAAUCUUCCGCAAUGGGCGAAAGCUUGACGGAGCAACGCCGCGUGAGUGAUGAAGGUCUUCGGAUCGUAAAACUCUGUUAUAGGGAAGAACAAAUGUGUAAGUAACUAUGCACGUCUUGACGGUACCUAAUCAGAAAGCCACGGCUAACUACG